GCAGAGCUUCCCCAGAAGAUUGGAGGGGAUGAGUCAGGGGCAAGGAAGGAUUAACAGAUUCUGCAUCAAGGCCUGUUGAACCAAGUCCUCUCCCCAAGACAGACACAUACUAGUCAAAUAAAUUAGAUUUAAAUCAUCACCUGAGGCAAUCCUGAAAGAGAAAAGCAGUCCUAGAAAAGAGUGGAGGAAAAGAGGACAGCCCCAUUCUCUUUGUGACCACGAAGACUGCUGCCAUGUGGAUGGGAGCCACAUGACUGCUUUUAGCACCAGCUGAGAUUCUUCUGCCCUGGAACUAGUUCCUCCGAGUUAUUCCCAGGCCUGGAGAUUUAAUUCCUGCACCUGGAAGUUGCCAGAGCGAAGGAAGCAAAAGCAUCCAUUAUGAGAUUCACCAGAAGGGUAUGACCAGCUUUAGAAGGAGAAUCCUGGACAACAACACACGCAGCUGUGAAGGCCACAAGUGUGACACCCAAAGCCAAGUGAAAUGGAAGGAAUGUGAAGAUGCUGUCAUAAACAUUUCUACCUCAUAUGACAGCUUUAACAAUACUUUCAAGGUUGUCAUGGAAUAAGCCAAGGAAAGGGGAACUGCAAAAGAAAAGCUUUCAGGAACAGCCACCACCAAGAUUGUUAUUCUGAUAACGAAAAACUGAAUAAUACAUUCGGUAUAAAGUGUAAUGCAAUCUAAAGUUCAUUGGUUGCACCAA
Macaca mulatta (Rhesus monkey) is the source of this 701-nucleotide non-coding RNA. Lineage: Eukaryota; Metazoa; Chordata; Mammalia; Primates; Cercopithecidae. The record is from RefSeq and is a predicted model, not a curated record.